AAUUAAAUUUUUAUUACAUAAGAUAAAAAUUAUAUAUAUUCAUAUAUAAAAUUUAAUAAUAAAAAAAAUUAAAUAAUUAAUAAUUUAAUUAAAUAUUUUUAAAUAGCGUGCCAGCUAAAGCGGUUAAACGAUUAAUUAAAAUUAAACAAAAAUAAAACUAAAAAAAUAUAGUAAAAGUUUAUAUAUAGUAAAAUAUUUUAUAUAUUAAUAUUAAAAUAAGUAAUAAAAUAAAUAAGAAAUAAAUUGGAUUAGAUACCCAAAUAAAUAAACUUUAUAGUACUAAAUUAAUUUAAUUAAACUAGAAUUAUUUGGCGGUAAAAUUUAAAUUUAAAGGGUCUUGAUUUAUAAUAGAAAACACUCAAUAAAAAAAUCUUUUAGUUAUAAAUUUAUAUAUUUCCGUUAAAUUAUAUAUAAAUCAAAAGUUAAAUUAAUUAUUUAAAUAAACAGGUCAAUAUAUAGUUAAAACAAAAGAAAAAUUUAGACACAAAAAAAAAUUAAAAGAAAUAGAAUUUAAUAGUAAUUUAAAUAAAAAUUUAAAAACAAUUUUAAAUGAAUUUUUAAUUUUAUGUACAUAUUGCCCAUCACUUUCAUUUUAAAAUGAAAUAAGUUGAAACAUAGUAGAAGUAUAAGAAUAUGCUUCUAAA
This 644-nucleotide ribosomal RNA is filed under the name Amphitetranychus viennensis (hawthorn spider mite). RNAcentral describes it as "12S ribosomal RNA". Lineage: Eukaryota; Metazoa; Arthropoda; Arachnida; Trombidiformes; Tetranychidae. The record is from RNAcentral.